CCUACGGUGGGCAGCAGUAGGGAAUAUUGCUCAAUGGGGGAAACCCUGACGCAGCAACGCCGCGUGGAGGAUGAAGGUUUUAGGAUUGUAAACUCCUUUUGUUAGAGAAGAUUAUGACGGUAUCUAACGAAUAAGCACCGGCUAACUCCUUGCCAGCAGCCGCGGUAAUACGGAGGGUGCAAGCGUUACUCGGAAUCACUGGGCGUAAAGAGUGCGUAGGCGGUGUAAUAAGUCAGGUGUGAAAUCCUGUAGCUUAACUACAGAACUGCAUUUGAAACUGUGACUCUGGAGUGUGUGAGAGGUUGGUGGAAUUCUUGGUGUAGGGGUAAAAUCCGUAGAGAUCAAGAGGAAUAUUCGUGGCGAAGGCGACCUGCUGGAACAUUACUGACGCUGAGGCACGAAAGCGUGGGGAGCAAACAGGAUUAGAUACCCGAGUAGUC
This 440-nucleotide ribosomal RNA is filed under the name uncultured bacterium. RNAcentral's name for it is "partial 16S ribosomal RNA". It matches the Rfam family "Bacterial small subunit ribosomal RNA", at positions 338 to 795 of the family's 1533-position model. The record is from RNAcentral.